RNAcentral lists this ribosomal RNA (491 nucleotides) under uncultured bacterium. Its description in RNAcentral is "partial 16S ribosomal RNA". It matches the Rfam family "Bacterial small subunit ribosomal RNA", at positions 29 to 507 of the family's 1533-position model. The record is from RNAcentral.
GUGAACGCUGGCGGUAGGCCUAACACAUGCAAGUCGAACGGCAGCACAGUAAGAGCUUGCUCUUACGGGUGGCGAGUGGCGGACGGGUGAGGAAUACAUCGGAAUCUACUUUUUCGUGGGGGAUAACGUAGGGAAACUUACGCUAAUACCGCAUACGACCUACGGGUGAAAGCAGGGGAUCUUCGGACCUUGCGCGAUUGAAUGAGCCGAUGUCGGAUUAGUUAGUUGGCGGGGUAAAGGCCCACCAAGGCGACGAUCCGUAGCUGGUCUGAGAGGAUGAUCAGCCACACUGGAACUGAGACACGGUCCAGACUCCUACGGGAGGCAGCAGUGGGGAAUAUUGGACAAUGGGCGCAAGCCUGAUCCAGCCAUACCGCGUGGGUGAAGAAGGCCUUCGGGUUGUAAAGCCCUUUUGUUGGGAAAGAAAAGCAGCAGGUUAAUACCCCGCUGUUCUGACGGUACCCAAAGAAUAAGCACCGGCUAACUUCGUG